RNAcentral lists this ribosomal RNA (1025 nucleotides) under Staphylococcus aureus. RNAcentral's name for it is "partial 23S ribosomal RNA". It matches the Rfam family "Bacterial large subunit ribosomal RNA", at positions 532 to 1560 of the family's 2925-position model. The record is from RNAcentral. Lineage: Bacteria; Bacillati; Bacillota; Bacilli; Caryophanales; Staphylococcaceae.
AGGGGAGUGAAAUAGAACCUGAAACCGUGUGCUUACAAGUAGUCAGAGCCCGUUAAUGGGUGAUGGCGUGCCUUUUGUAGAAUGAACCGGCGAGUUACGAUUUGAUGCAAGGUUAAGCAGUAAAUGUGGAGCCGUAGCGAAAGCGAGUCUGAAUAGGGCGUUUAGUAUUUGGUCGUAGACCCGAAACCAGGUGAUCUACCCUUGGUCAGGUUGAAGUUCAGGUAACACUGAAUGGAGGACCGAACCGACUUACGUUGAAAAGUGAGCGGAUGAACUGAGGGUAGCGGAGAAAUUCCAAUCGAACCUGGAGAUAGCUGGUUCUCUCCGAAAUAGCUUUAGGGCUAGCCUCAAGUGAUGAUUAUUGGAGGUAGAGCACUGUUUGGACGAGGGGCCCCUCUCGGGUUACCGAAUUCAGACAAACUCCGAAUGCCAAUUAAUUUAACUUGGGAGUCAGAACAUGGGUGAUAAGGUCCGUGUUCGAAAGGGAAACAGCCCAGACCACCAGCUAAGGUCCCAAAAUAUAUGUUAAGUGGAAAAGGAUGUGGCGUUGCCCAGACAACUAGGAUGUUGGCUUAGAAGCAGCCAUCAUUUAAAGAGUGCGUAAUAGCUCACUAGUCGAGUGACACUGCGCCGAAAAUGUACCGGGGCUAAACAUAUUACCGAAGCUGUGGAUUGUCCUUUGGACAAUGGUAGGAGAGCGUUCUAAGGGCGUUGAAGCAUGAUCGUAAGGACAUGUGGAGCGCUUAGAAGUGAGAAUGCCGGUGUGAGUAGCGAAAGACGGGUGAGAAUCCCGUCCACCGAUUGACUAAGGUUUCCAGAGGAAGGCUCGUCCGCUCUGGGUUAGUCGGGUCCUAAGCUGAGGCCGACAGGCGUAGGCGAUGGAUAACAGGUUGAUAUUCCUGUACCACCUAUAAUCGUUUUAAUCGAUGGGGGGACGCAGUAGGAUAGGCGAAGCGUGCGAUUGGAUUGCACGUCUAAGCAGUAAGGCUGAGUAUUAGGCAAAUCCGGUACUCGUUAAGGCUGAG